UACGGGAAUUUCCACAAUGGACGAAAGUCUGACGGAGCGACGCCGCGUGAGUGAAGAAGGUCUUCGGAUCGUAAAACUCUGUCCUUGGGGACGAAAAAAUGACGGUACCCAAGGAGGAAGCCACGGCUAACUACGUGCCAGCAGCCGCGGUAAUAA
This 156-nucleotide ribosomal RNA is filed under the name uncultured bacterium. Its description in RNAcentral is "partial 16S ribosomal RNA". It matches the Rfam family "Bacterial small subunit ribosomal RNA", at positions 355 to 526 of the family's 1533-position model. The record is from RNAcentral.